RNAcentral lists this ribosomal RNA (252 nucleotides) under uncultured bacterium. RNAcentral describes it as "partial 16S ribosomal RNA". It matches the Rfam family "Bacterial small subunit ribosomal RNA", at positions 524 to 776 of the family's 1533-position model. The record is from RNAcentral.
UACGGAGGGGGCUAGCGUUGUUCGGAAUUACUGGGCGUAAGGGCUCGUAGGCGGCCCACUAAGUCCGACGUGAAAUCCCCAGGCUUAACCUGGGAACUGCGUCGGAUACUGGAUGGCUUGAAUUCGGGAGAGGGAUGCAGAAUUCCAGGUGUAGCGGUGAAAUGCGUAGAUAUCUGGAGGAAUACCGGUGGCGAAGGCGGCAUCCUGGACCGACAUUGACGCUGAUGAGCGAAAGCUAGGGGAGCAAACGGG